RNAcentral lists this transfer RNA (85 nucleotides) under Nonlabens tegetincola. RNAcentral's name for it is "tRNA-Leu". It matches the Rfam family "tRNA". Rfam says of the family: Transfer RNA (tRNA) molecules are approximately 80 nucleotides in length. Their secondary structure includes four short double-helical elements and three loops (D, anti-codon, and T loops). Lineage: Bacteria; Pseudomonadati; Bacteroidota; Flavobacteriia; Flavobacteriales; Flavobacteriaceae. The record is from RNAcentral. RNAcentral also lists the same sequence under 3 other names.
GCGGAUGUGGUGGAACUGGUAGACACGCUAGACUUAGGAUCUAGUGCCGCAAGGUGUGCAGGUUCGAUUCCUGUCAUCCGCACAA